RNAcentral lists this ribosomal RNA (521 nucleotides) under Blepharoneura perkinsi. RNAcentral's name for it is "partial small subunit ribosomal RNA". The stretch from base 390 to 521 matches the Rfam family "Bacterial large subunit ribosomal RNA", at positions 2473 to 2605 of the family's 2925-position model. Lineage: Eukaryota; Metazoa; Arthropoda; Insecta; Diptera; Tephritidae. The record is from RNAcentral.
AAACAUGUCUUUUUGAUUUAUAUUUAAAGUCUGACCUGCCCAAUGAAAAUUUAAUGGCCGCAGUAUACUAACUGUGCAAAGGUAGCAUAAUAAUUAGUCUUUUAAUUGAAGGCUGGAAUGAAUGGUUGGACGAAGUAUAAGCUGUUUCAUAUAAAUUUAAAAUAGAAUUUUAUUUUUUAGUCAAAAAGCUAAAAUUUUAUUAAAAGACGAGAAGACCCUAUAAAUCUUAAUAGUUUUUUAUAUAUGUAUUUUUUAGUUUUUAUUUGUUUUUAUAUAAAAAAUUAUUUUAUUGGGGUGAUAUUAAAAUUUAAUAAACUUUUAAAUUAAAUUUCAUUAAUUUAUGAAUUGUUGAUCCAUUAAUAAUGAUUAUAAGAUUAAGUUACUUUAGGGAUAACAGCGUAAUUUUUUUGGAGAGUUCAUAUCGAUAAAAAAGAUUGCGACCUCGAUGUUGGAUUAAGAAAAUUGUUAGGUGUAGCUGCUUAAAUAAUAAGUCUGUUCGACUUUUAAAUUCUUACAUGAUC